GAGGAAUAAGCAUCGGCUAACUCCGUGCCAGCAGCCGCGGUAAUACGGGGGAUGCAAGCGUUAUCCGGAAUCAUUGGGCGUAAAGCGCCUGUAGGUGGUUUAAUAAGUCUGUUGUUAAAGACUAGGGCUUAACCCUAGGAAAGCAAUGGAAACUAAUAGACUAGAGUAUGGCAGGGGUAGAGGGAAUUUCUAGUGUAGCGGUGAAAUGCGUAGAUAUUAGAAAGAACACCAGUGGCGAAAGCGCUCUACUGGACCAUUACUGACACUCAGAGGCGAAAGCUAGGGUAGCAAAAGGGAUUAGAUACCCCUGUAGUCCUAGCCGUAAACGAUGGAUACUAGAUGUUGUGUUUUCUCACAGUGUCGCAGCUAACGCGUUAAGUAUCCCGCCUGGGGAGUACGCUCGCAAGGGUGAAACUCAAAGGAAUUGACGGGGGCCCGCACAAGCGGUGGAGCAUGUGGUUUAAUUCGAUGCAACGCGAAGAACCUUACCAGGGCUUGACAUACUGCAGAUCUUUUUGAGAAAGAAGAGUGCCUUCGGGAAUGCAGAUACAGGUGGUGCAUGGCUGUCGUCAGCUCGUGUCGUGAGAUGUUGGGUUAAGUCCCGCAACGAGCGCAACCCUUAUUUUUAGUUACCAACUUGUUGGGUUCUCUAGAAAGACUGCCGGUGACAAACCGGAGGAAGGUGAGGAUGACGUCAAGUCAGCAUGCCCCUUAUGUCCUGGGCUACACACGUGCUACAAUGGUUAAGACAAAGAGUCGCGAGUUCGUGAGAACCAGCUAAUCUCGUAAACUUAGCCUAAGUUCAGAUUGUAGGCUGCAACUCGCCUACAUGAAG
Molecule: ribosomal RNA, 835 nt
Filed under: Haptophyta environmental samples
Lineage: Eukaryota; Haptophyta
Description: bacterial SSU rRNA
Rfam family: Bacterial small subunit ribosomal RNA
Source: RNAcentral